AAGCCUCUGAAUGUCUCUGCUUUUAA
RNAcentral lists this unclassified non-coding RNA (26 nucleotides) under Mus musculus (house mouse). Its description in RNAcentral is "oocyte_clustered_small_RNA361". The record is from RNAcentral. Lineage: Eukaryota; Metazoa; Chordata; Mammalia; Rodentia; Muridae.